UGGCACCUCGAUGUCGGCUCAUCUCAUCCUGGGGCUGGAGCAGGUCCCAAGGGUAUGGCUGUUCGCCAUUUAAAGAGGUACGUGAGCUGGGUUCAGAACGUCGUGAGACAGUUCGGUCCCUAUCUGCCGUGGGUGUUGGAGUCUUGAGAGGAUCUGCCCUUAGUACGAGAGGACCGGGGUGGACGUACCACUGGUGUACCUGUUGUUCCGCCAGGAGCAUCGCAGGGUAGCUAAGUACGGACAGGAUAACCGCUGAAAGCAUCUAAGCGGGAAACCCACCUCAAAACCAGGACUCCCUAUCAGAGCCGUUCUAGACCAGGACGUUGAUAGGUUCGGUGUGGAAGAGUGGCAACACUUGAAGCUAACGAAUACUAAUUGCUCGAUCGACUUGUUUU
Molecule: ribosomal RNA, 395 nt
Filed under: Micavibrio sp.
Lineage: Bacteria; Pseudomonadati; Bdellovibrionota; Bdellovibrionia; Bdellovibrionales; Pseudobdellovibrionaceae
Description: bacterial LSU rRNA
Rfam family: Bacterial large subunit ribosomal RNA
Source: RNAcentral